UAGGCGUAAAUGAUGCGAGUUAAGUGUGGGGGCAUCUACGAGAUGGCCCUGUGCUGUAGGGUAGCCGUUAAACUCGCUGCCUGGGGAGUACGGUCGCAAGGCUGAACUUAAGGAUUGGCGGGGGAGCACAACAACGGGUGGAGCCUGCGGUUUAAUCGGACUCAACGCCGGACAACUCACCGGGGACGACAGCAAUAUGUAGGCCAGGCUGAAGACCUUGCCUGAAUCGCUGAGAGGUGGUGCAUGGCGUCAGUGACU
RNAcentral lists this ribosomal RNA (258 nucleotides) under uncultured archaeon. RNAcentral's name for it is "partial 16S ribosomal RNA". It matches the Rfam family "Archaeal small subunit ribosomal RNA", at positions 748 to 1008 of the family's 1478-position model. The record is from RNAcentral.